AACGAACGCUGGCGGCGUGGAUAAGACAUGCAAGUCGGACGCUGAUUGCCGGGUAGCAAUAUUCGGCGGUCGGAGUGGCGAAAGGGUGCGUAACACGUGGGCAAUCUGCCGUGAAGUCGGGGAUAACUUGCUGAAAGGCGAGCUAAUACCGGAUGUGGUUUUGGGAGGGCAUCUUUCUGGAACCAAAGUUGGGGACCGCAAGGCCUGACGCUUCAUGAUGAGCCCGCGGCCUAUCAGCUAGUUGGUGAGGUAAUGGCUCACCAAGGCAAAGACGGGUAGCUGGUCUGAGAGGACGACCAGCCACACUGGAACUGAGACACGGUCCAGACACCUACGGGUGGCAGCAGUCGAGAAUUUUUCACAAUGGGCGGAAGCCUGAUGGAGCGACGCCGCGUGGGGGAUGAAUGGCUUCGGCCCGUAAACCCCUGUCAUUUGCCAACAACCUUUCCACCCAACACGUGGAGAGCUGAUUGUAGCGAAAGAGGAAGGGACGGCUAACUC
Molecule: ribosomal RNA, 501 nt
Filed under: uncultured bacterium
Lineage: Bacteria
Description: bacterial SSU rRNA
Rfam family: Bacterial small subunit ribosomal RNA
Source: RNAcentral